RNAcentral lists this ribosomal RNA (2901 nucleotides) under Escherichia coli. Its description in RNAcentral is "bacterial LSU rRNA". It matches the Rfam family "Bacterial large subunit ribosomal RNA". The record is from RNAcentral. Lineage: Bacteria; Pseudomonadati; Pseudomonadota; Gammaproteobacteria; Enterobacterales; Enterobacteriaceae.
UUAAGCGACUAAGCGUACACGGUGGAUGCCCUGGCAGUCAGAGGCGAUGAAGGACGUGCUAAUCUGCGAUAAGCGUCGGUAAGGUGAUAUGAACCGUUAUAACCGGCGAUUUCCGAAUGGGGAAACCCAGUGUGAUUCGUCACACUAUCAUUAACUGAAUCCAUAGGUUAAUGAGGCGAACCGGGGGAACUGAAACAUCUAAGUACCCCGAGGAAAAGAAAUCAACCGAGAUUCCCCCAGUAGCGGCGAGCGAACGGGGAGGAGCCCAGAGCCUGAAUCAGUGUGUGUGUUAGUGGAAGCGUCUGGAAAGGCGCGCGAUACAGGGUGACAGCCCCGUACACAAAAAUGCACAUACUGUGAGCUCGAUGAGUAGGGCGGGACACGUGGUAUCCUGUCUGAAUAUGGGGGGACCAUCCUCCAAGGCUAAAUACUCCUGACUGACCGAUAGUGAACCAGUACCGUGAGGGAAAGGCGAAAAGAACCCCGGCGAGGGGAGUGAAAAAGAACCUGAAACCGUGUACGUACAAGCAGUGGGAGCCUCUUUAUGGGGUGACUGCGUACCUUUUGUAUAAUGGGUCAGCGACUUAUAUUCUGUAGCAAGGUUAACCGAAUAGGGGAGCCGAAGGGAAACCGAGUCUUAACUGGGCGUUAAGUUGCAGGGUAUAGACCCGAAACCCGGUGAUCUAGCCAUGGGCAGGUUGAAGGUUGGGUAACACUAACUGGAGGACCGAACCGACUAAUGUUGAAAAAUUAGCGGAUGACUUGUGGCUGGGGGUGAAAGGCCAAUCAAACCGGGAGAUAGCUGGUUCUCCCCGAAAGCUAUUUAGGUAGCGCCUCGUGAAUUCAUCUCCGGGGGUAGAGCACUGUUUCGGCAAGGGGGUCAUCCCGACUUACCAACCCGAUGCAAACUGCGAAUACCGGAGAAUGUUAUUACGGGAGACACACGGCGGGUGCUAACGUCCGUCGUGAAGAGGGAAACAACCCAGACCGCCAGCUAAGGUCCCAAAGUCAUGGUUAAGUGGGAAACGAUGUGGGAAGGCCCAGACAGCCAGGAUGUUGGCUUAGAAGCAGCCAUCAUUUAAAGAAAGCGUAAUAGCUCACUGGUCGAGUCGGCCUGCGCGGAAGAUGUAACGGGGCUAAACCAUGCACCGAAGCUGCGGCAGCGACACUAUGUGUUGUUGGGUAGGGGAGCGUUCUGUAAGCCUGUGAAGGUGUGCUGUGAGGCAUGCUGGAGGUAUCAGAAGUGCGAAUGCUGACAUAAGUAACGAUAAAGCGGGUGAAAAGCCCGCUCGCCGGAAGACCAAGGGUUCCUGUCCAACGUUAAUCGGGGCAGGGUGAGUCGACCCCUAAGGCGAGGCCGAAAGGCGUAGUCGAUGGGAAACAGGUUAAUAUUCCUGUACUUGGUGUUACUGCGAAGGGGGACGGAGAAGGCUAUGUUGGCCGGGCGACGGUUGUCCCGGUUUAAGCGUGUAGGCUGGUUUUCCAGGCAAAUCCGGAAAAUCAAGGCUGAGGCGUGAUGACGAGGCACUACGGUGCUGAAGCAACAAAUGCCCUGCUUCCAGGAAAAGCCUCUAAGCAUCAGGUAACAUCAAAUCGUACCCCAAACCGACACAGGUGGUCAGGUAGAGAAUACCAAGGCGCUUGAGAGAACUCGGGUGAAGGAACUAGGCAAAAUGGUGCCGUAACUUCGGGAGAAGGCACGCUGAUAUGUAGGUGAAGCGACUUGCUCGUGGAGCUGAAAUCAGUCGAAGAUACCAGCUGGCUGCAACUGUUUAUUAAAAACACAGCACUGUGCAAACACGAAAGUGGACGUAUACGGUGUGACGCCUGCCCGGUGCCGGAAGGUUAAUUGAUGGGGUUAGCGGUAACGCGAAGCUCUUGAUCGAAGCCCCGGUAAACGGCGGCCGUAACUAUAACGGUCCUAAGGUAGCGAAAUUCCUUGUCGGGUAAGUUCCGACCUGCACGAAUGGCGUAAUGAUGGCCAGGCUGUCUCCACCCGAGACUCAGUGAAAUUGAACUCGCUGUGAAGAUGCAGUGUACCCGCGGCAAGACGGAAAGACCCCGUGAACCUUUACUAUAGCUUGACACUGAACAUUGAGCCUUGAUGUGUAGGAUAGGUGGGAGGCUUUGAAGUGUGGACGCCAGUCUGCAUGGAGCCGACCUUGAAAUACCACCCUUUAAUGUUUGAUGUUCUAACGUUGGCCCCUGAUCGGGGUUGCGGACAGUGUCUGGUGGGUAGUUUGACUGGGGCGGUCUCCUCCUAAAGAGUAACGGAGGAGCACGAAGGUUGGCUAAUCCUGGUCGGACAUCAGGAGGUUAGUGCAAUGGCAUAAGCCAGCUUGACUGCGAGCGUGACGGCGCGAGCAGGUGCGAAAGCAGGUCAUAGUGAUCCGGUGGUUCUGAAUGGAAGGGCCAUCGCUCAACGGAUAAAAGGUACUCCGGGGAUAACAGGCUGAUACCGCCCAAGAGUUCAUAUCGACGGCGGUGUUUGGCACCUCGAUGUCGGCUCAUCACAUCCUGGGGCUGAAGUAGGUCCCAAGGGUAUGGCUGUUCGCCAUUUAAAGUGGUACGCGAGCUGGGUUUAGAACGUCGUGAGACAGUUCGGUCCCUAUCUGCCGUGGGCGCUGGAGAACUGAGGGGGGCUGCUCCUAGUACGAGAGGACCGGAGUGGACGCAUCACUGGUGUUCGGGUUGUCAUGCCAAUGGCACUGCCCGGUAGCUAAAUGCGGAAGAGAUAAGUGCUGAAAGCAUCUAAGCACGAAACUUGCCCCGAGAUGAGUUCUCCCUGACUCCUUGAGAGUCCUGAAGGAACGUUGAAGACGACGACGUUGAUAGGCCGGGUGUGUAAGCGCAGCGAUGCGUUGAGCUAACCGGUACUAAUGAACCGUGAGGCUUAACCUU